UGCAUUAAAGAGCUAGUUGAUCAACUAAGAACACUUCAAAAGGACUUUAGAGGAUGUUCCAAGCUUUAAUGCCAAUUUGAAUAUUGGGAAAAAAAUCACUUGCCAACCUUUCAUGAGAUAUUUGGAUCACCUGGGUCUAUGUAGAAAUUCUAAGGACAUAGUGUUAUUUUAAUAACUCCUUCAUUCAAAAAUAAUUAUGGAGCUGGUUCUGUGCAUACACUGGAUAACAUGAAGAAACUGAGGCAGAAGAGGGAAUGUUGGGAGCUUGCAGAUCAAAAGUAAAAAAUCCAGGACUUCAAGAUUCAGGAAAAGCAGGGGUUUGAAGAAUUCAACUACCAAACUACCAGAGAGCCCAAAGUCACCAAACCCUCAGUGACAGAGCUAGAGACUUUCAGCAUCAAGUACAGACUAAAAUCUAACUCUAAGGACAAGGGAAGAAAGAAGCAUCAUCAGCAGGGAUAGGCACUUUGGAACAUGCAAAUAAGAAUACAGAGACCAGAGUCACAACACAGCACAGUGAUUAAGAGUGUGAGAAGAUGAAAACUCCACAACAUUUCUUUGGAGCUGGAAUCUUAGCACAACCACCCAUGUGACUUUGAGCAAGUCAUCU
This is a long non-coding RNA of Talpa occidentalis (Iberian mole), 610 nucleotides long. RefSeq lists it as uncharacterized. The transcript is spliced from 3 exons. NCBI's taxonomy places the organism in Eukaryota, Metazoa, Chordata, Mammalia, Eulipotyphla, Talpidae. The record is from RefSeq and is a predicted model, not a curated record.